UACGUAAGGACCGAGCGUUGUCCGGAAUCAUUGGGCGUAAAGGGUACGUAGGCGGCUAGAAAAGUUAGAAGUCAAAGGCUAUAGCUCAACUAUAGUAAGCUUCUAAAACUAUUUAGCUUGAGAAAUGGAAGGGAAAGUGGAAUUCCUAGUGUAGCGGUGGAAUGCGCAGAUAUUAGGAAGAAUACCGGUGGCGAAGGCGACUUUCUGGCCAUUAUCUGACGCUGAGGUACGAAAGCGUGGGUAGCAAACAGGAUUAGAUACCCUGGUAGU
This 270-nucleotide ribosomal RNA is filed under the name uncultured bacterium. Its description in RNAcentral is "partial 16S ribosomal RNA". It matches the Rfam family "Bacterial small subunit ribosomal RNA", at positions 524 to 794 of the family's 1533-position model. The record is from RNAcentral.